UGGGGAAUAUUGGACAAUGGGCGAAAGCCUGAUCCAGCCAUGCCGCGUGUGUGAAGAAGGUCUUCGGAUUGUAAAGCACUUUAAGUUGGGAGGAAGGGCAGUAAGCGAAUACCUUGCUGUUUUGACGUUACCGACAGAAUAAGCACCGGCUAACUCUGUGCCAGCAGCCGCGGUAAUACAGAGGGUGCAAGCGUUAAUCGGAAUUACUGGGCGUAAAGCGCGCGUAGGUGGUUCGUUAAGUUGAAUGUGAAAGCCCCGGGCUCAACCUGGGAACUGCAUUCGAUACUGGUUAGCUAGAGUGUGGGAGAGGAGGGUAGAAUUCCAGGUGUAGCGGUGAAAUGCGUAGAGAUCUGGAGGAAUACCGAUGGCGAAGGCAGCCAUCUGGCCUAACACUGACGCUGAGGUACGAAAGCAUGGGGAGCAAACAGG
RNAcentral lists this ribosomal RNA (429 nucleotides) under Pseudomonadota bacterium. RNAcentral's name for it is "Proteobacteria bacterium partial 16S ribosomal RNA". It matches the Rfam family "Bacterial small subunit ribosomal RNA", at positions 355 to 776 of the family's 1533-position model. The record is from RNAcentral. Lineage: Bacteria; Pseudomonadati; Pseudomonadota.